Non-coding RNA from Triticum aestivum (bread wheat), 115 nucleotides. The record is from Rfam. Lineage: Eukaryota; Viridiplantae; Streptophyta; Magnoliopsida; Poales; Poaceae.
AAAGUACCCCCUCCGUUCAGAAUUACUUGUCGCGGAUAUGGAUGUAUCUAGAUGUACUUUAGUUCUAGAUACAUCCAUUUCCGAGACAAGUAAUUCUGAAUGGAGGGAGUAGUAC